CCUACGGGCGCAGCAGUAAGGAAUCUUCCGCAAUGGGCGAAAGCCUGACGGAGCAACGCCGCGUGGGCGAUGAAGGCCUUCGGGUCGUAAAGCCCUUUUCUGUGGGACGAUAAUGACGGUACCACAGGAAUAAGUCACGGCUAACUACGUGCCAGCAGCCGCGGUAAAACGUAGGUGGCAAGCGUUAUCCGGAAUCACUGGGCGUAAAGGGCGUCUAGGCGGACGGGUAAGUCGUGCGUGAAAGCUUCCGGCUCAACCGGGAGAGGUCGUACGAUACUGCCUGUCUGGAGGGUCGGAGAGGGACGUGGAAUUCCGGGUGUAGGGGUGAAAUGCGUAGAGAUCGGGAGGAACACCAGUGGCGAGGGUGGCGUCCGG
RNAcentral lists this ribosomal RNA (375 nucleotides) under uncultured Anaerolineae bacterium. RNAcentral's name for it is "partial 16S ribosomal RNA". It matches the Rfam family "Bacterial small subunit ribosomal RNA", at positions 338 to 731 of the family's 1533-position model. Lineage: Bacteria; Bacillati; Chloroflexota; Anaerolineae. The record is from RNAcentral.